CCACGACGAUGAGUGAAAAUUUUAGUGGCUAAAAGCAAAGAGCACUGAUGUCACUUUACCCCAACACAAUGACACUUUCUAUCCUCCUUAACGCUGCUGCUGCUGCUGCUGGUGGUGCUUGGGAUUGUGCCGCAUCGCGUCUCGUCUUAAGUACAUAAGUGGCCUCCGUUCACACUCAUCCGAAUCCGCACUGGGACCCCUUCUACCCUUCCCCACUACCCGCACUCUAGUUCUCCUGGUAACAACAACACGCUGGCUUUUAUUACAUGGGGCAGCUGGAAUAUUUCAAAUCACGCUGUGAAUCGUUGGCGGUAUCUACAUAUAUCUAUACAGUUCAAUUUUGUGUAUUAGUAUCUGU
Molecule: long non-coding RNA, 358 nt
Organism: Drosophila willistoni
Lineage: Eukaryota; Metazoa; Arthropoda; Insecta; Diptera; Drosophilidae
Exons: 3
Source: RefSeq, a predicted model, not a curated record